RNAcentral lists this long non-coding RNA (681 nucleotides) under Calidris pygmaea (Spoon-billed sandpiper). RNAcentral's name for it is "lncRNA (ENSCPGG00000013819.1)". The record is from RNAcentral. Lineage: Eukaryota; Metazoa; Chordata; Aves; Charadriiformes; Scolopacidae.
CCCGGCCCGGCCCGGCUCGGCGGCGUGUGGGGAGGAAGCAGCGCCGGCUGCGCGGCGGGCGGCUGCUCGGCUCCUCCGCCCCCCGUCUCCUCCCCUCCGCCGCCGAUCCGCCUUCUCCUCCUCCUCCUCCUCCUCCUCUUCGCGGCGGCGGCGGCGGCUGCUUUCUCGGCCCCGGCUCCUUGCUUUUCCCCGCGGCUUCCCCUCGCUCCUCUCCGGGAGGCUCCCGAGCAGCGCUGGAGAGGACGGCACUGCUGCAAGGAGCCUCUGGGACUUCCAGGGUGGAGAGAACCUGCCUCUGCCUGGACACCUCUGCUAAAGGUGAAGACCUCCCAACGCACCAGGCAGCCUUAGCAAGAGCUCAGAAAUCUUACAUCAAGAAUCCCCUGGAGCACUACAUUCCCCCUUUCAGCGUGUGGACAAGAGUUUGGCAUUGUGCUUUUACAGAAUGUAGAAGUCAUCUCAGAAGCCAUUUCUGUCAGCUGAGGAAAUUGGGAGCUUGAAAUUCCAAAUACGUUGCAGUAUGAAAGUAGAGGCAGCAAAACUGUCUUGGCUGUGCCAAGGACUGACACCAGGAACAUUCAAAGCCUUGUAACUGAUCUGUGUUGGUUUUUGUGGUCACAAGUUAACCUACACUAAUUUCACAGUCACGUUACAUAUUUUUACCUUCCUGAUGUCAUGCCG